ACAAGCGGUGGAGCAUGUGGUUUAAUUCGAUGCAACGCGAAGAACCUUACCUGGGCUUGACAUCCACGGAACCUGCUGGAAACAGUGGGGUGCCUUCGGGAGCCGUGAGACAGGUGCUGCAUGGCUGUCGUCAGCUCGUGUCGUGAGAUGUUGGGUUAAGUCCCGCAACGAGCGCAACCCUUGUCAUUAGUUGCUACAUUCAGUUGGGCACUCUAAUGAGACUGCCGGUGACAAGCCGGAGGAAGGUGGGGAUGACGUCAAGUCCUCAUGGCCCUUAUAGGUGGGGCUACACACGUCAUACAAUGGCUGGUACAAAGGGUUGCCAACCCGCGAGGGGGAGCCAAUCCCAUAAAGCCAGUCGUAGUCCGGAUCGUAGUCUGCAACUCGACUACGUGAAGUCGGAAUCGCUAGUAAUCGUGGAUCAGAAUGUCACGGUGAAUACGUUCCCGGGUCUU
RNAcentral lists this ribosomal RNA (455 nucleotides) under uncultured Desulfuromonadales bacterium. RNAcentral describes it as "bacterial SSU rRNA". It matches the Rfam family "Bacterial small subunit ribosomal RNA", at positions 925 to 1382 of the family's 1533-position model. Lineage: Bacteria; Pseudomonadati; Thermodesulfobacteriota; Desulfuromonadia; Desulfuromonadales. The record is from RNAcentral.